CUCUCCCGUGGAGCCCCCACCUCGUCCAGGCAGCCAUGGAAGGCCGGUCAGGCGCGGCGGUGGCUGCCGCCGGCGUCGUCCGUCCACUACUCAACGCCUCGCGGUCGCGGGUCUCCUCUCUACCGCGGCAGCCCACCGCCCACUCCCUCCUCCUGGCCAUCUCCUUCGCCCCUUCCCCGUCUCCUCCGCAAGUACGCCGUCCGUUCCUCGACGCAUCUCAUGCUACCUCCUCAGUCCCAGUAGUCCCACCGCACACCCAGAGCACCACUCCCCCUCCUCCUCAUAGUCUCCCCCAGGCCUCCAUGUCUCCCUGUAACAAUAGUUCAGUACAAAAUUGCUCUGCUUCUCCGUCGCGGUUCGCUGCACGCUCGCCAGGAUUUGACUGAGCUCAAAGCCUCAACGACCGCCCAUAUGCUCUGAAUGUGCAAGGAAGCCGCCGGGCUGCUUGGGGAUGCCAAGUAGUACAAAAUUGCGGACCUGCAUAUAUUAUUCGAUGACCAAAUUGUGGACUCCAAAUUGCAAGCUCAGAGUCGAGUAUACUAUCAACACAUUGAGUAACCAGCUUACUCCUCGAAGUCUGAAUCAUGGCGGAGGCUGUUGUCGGGCACCUGGUGGUCACGCUCGGCUCGGCGCUGGCGACAGAGGCGGCCACCUUCGGCUGGGCGCUGCUGUGCCAGGAGGCCGCGGCCCUGAGGGGCCUCUUCGGCAAGAUCCACGAGUCCAAGGUGUCUCUAAUGAAUUCAUUUUCAUAAUAUCUUAUUGACAUGAAUGCAGUGUCAUCCUGAAGCAAAAAACGGUGUUAUUGAAGCCCUGGCCUUGACAUGUAGUGUCAUUGAUUUAUCAAGAAGGUACCAACUCUGUAGUCUAUACCAUUAGGCGCUAACCACUUUUAUUAGCCGCUAACCAGGUAAUUAUCGUGUCUAUACCAUUUGAGGACAACUCUGCUGAAUUUUUCAAAAGACUUCUAUUGUUAUCUCCAUUUGGUGCCUAUCCCCAUCAGGUUCAUAACACUAUUUGCAAAAUUGGGGGAUUCAGUAUUCCAUAGAUUGAUAUACUAUUAAUUACAUUGCAGGUAAAUUUCCUAGGCACGUAGUUCACAAAUAUAUUUUUGGGCUACCAGAAGAGGUGGACUGGUACUCUGCAGAUGAAAAGAUGAUUAUGGCACUUUCUUGAUACAUAUACCACCCAUUGUUCAUCUCACUCCACAAUUUCUUUGUUGACGCAAUCUUGGAUCAGAUCUUAAGAAACCUGACGUACGAGUAUGAGGAGCAAGCACCACAUGACAUGGAAGGCCUUUGACAGCCAUGACUUAGCAAGCACCACAUUGCAAGCUUAAUCAUUUGAAUUACUUGCUCCUGGUGUGGGACCAUGUCGUCACUAUGCUUGAUGACCAAACUGACUACAGUUUGCUUACUGCAGAUGAGAGAUCUAAUCUGGUGGUACUGAUGACUACCUGAAAGAUUGGCUUGCUGGCAUGACAUUUAGUUGCUGGCACUGCUUUGACAUUUCUGCAGACGACUUUUAGACUGCUCUCUCAAUGUCAGAGAUUCCAAAAGGUUUAAUCUUUGUCUUGGUAGCUGUCCGCCGAAGUAAUCUAGUACAGUAGACGCCUGGCUCAAGGUCCUGAAAUCGUCAUUCUAGUUGUUUUCGUCAUCCUGUAAGCAACUGCAGUGGUAAGCAUUAGCAUUUUUCGGUUCAUAUCAAUAAACAAUGUCAAGAAAGACUUCCAAUCAGAAGUCCAGCUGAGGCUUUUUCGUUUCGAUUUUGCGAGUAUUCAGGUGUCUGCGUGAUGAGAAAUUUCUAAGACAAAGACCAUAUUCAGGUGUCUGCGUGAUUUUGUGAGUAUUCAGGUGUCCAGCCGCACAGUCAUAGUGUGUUGAAUUAUUUCACAAGACCAUAUUCUACUUUUCAAAAACUAAAUAAAUCUUGUUGUAAAGGUAUUAGACCUAGUGAUCCUACUACUGACGUGAUUUUCCUUCUCUGCCAAUUUCUGAACACUUGGGCAAAACUUCAAAAAGUUGCUCUGCAAAAGGUUCUGCAGAAGGGGGCUAGCACGAUGGUGAAAAAGGCGAAGGAGAACUUUGGCCCGCAACACGGCUGGACCCUGUGAUCAGGAGGCUGGCCAUGUAGUUUUGUGCGUCGGUAGAGAACUCGAGUCUCGCCUGUUGUGGCCUAAAUGCUGCUGCUGUUUCUAAUUUAGCUGAAUGUGCAAAGUCGAAUGAACUUCUUCAUGAUAAUAUAUUCCUAGGCUGUGCAGUUUAGCUGAAAAUAACAACUGUUCUUGUGCAUUUUCUCCAGAUGGUUAUGGCAGUUUUUGCAUACAUAUACCACCAAUCGUUCAUCUCGCCCCGCAAUUUCUCUGCCGACGCAAUCUUGGAUCAGAUCUUAAGAAACCUGAGGUACGAGGAGCAGAGGACCUUGUAUGAGCUACUCGGGGAGAUGUUAGGCAACUUAUACAAAGCUGAGAAAUUGUCUGCUUGCUUAUGAAAAGCACACAAUACAAUACAGUAGGCUGACUGUGUAUGUAUUUAUUUAUUUGAGUGCUCCCUCGGUUCGCCGUCAUGAAUGUAGCUCUAGAUUAACCGUGUACAGCAUCGUCAUCGUCAUGGCUCUCCUCUGUACCCUUCUGAGUUUUGAUGGAGUGAUGGUGUCCUUGUCGAAAGCAUUGUACAGAAUGAAUGUAUGAACUGUGGUUGAUAGGGCUAACUAAUUAAUCAGGUGCUUGAUGCUUGAUUCCCCUGCUGUUGAUUGAUUUA
Aegilops tauschii subsp. strangulata is the source of this 2756-nucleotide long non-coding RNA. RefSeq lists it as uncharacterized. The record is from RefSeq and is a predicted model, not a curated record. Lineage: Eukaryota; Viridiplantae; Streptophyta; Magnoliopsida; Poales; Poaceae.